This 977-nucleotide long non-coding RNA is filed under the name Homo sapiens (human). RNAcentral describes it as "HSALNT0109591". Lineage: Eukaryota; Metazoa; Chordata; Mammalia; Primates; Hominidae. The record is from RNAcentral.
UGACAAUGUCAUAUGCUGCAUCUACUUGGCAGGACUAUUUUAUAAUAAGUGAGUGCCAUCAGUGAAAUUAAUUUCAACAACAGGACUCCCAUAGGGCCCUGAGCUAAGUGUACCACAAGUUACUCUAUAAUUUAUAUUAACACAUACGGCCUGAUAACUGGCUGAAGACCUUAAGUAACUAUCAAAUUGUGCCAGAUUUGACUUCAAGAAAAGGGUUAACUGGGACUUGGAGAGGAAUUAAAAACAAAGAGAUGAAUUAGUAUGAAGAAUGAGGAUUACUGCAUCCACACAGUUAAUUAUCUGGAUUGAGAACUGAGGCUACUUGUGCCAAUAACUUUCCUAUCUGUUACUAGAAAUUCUUGCCCAGAUGGAAGGAUAACUAACUGCUCUUCCAUCAGAAGAUUAGACUACUCCCCUGGGCAAAGAGUUCACUUAACAUUUAUUGAACAAUAGUUUACUAAUCAAGACUUGCUUCAAGAUCUAAUCUGUUCUGUCAGGUACCUUGCCCAUUCUCAACCAGAUUCCUGCAUUGAAAGACCCUUCUUUAAUCACUUGAACUCAGACUUCCAAAAGACUUUAAUAUCUUCCCCUGACCAUCCCAUUCUUAAAUACAGCUAACUUUGUAAAAGUGGUAUUUCCCUUUAGUGCAGUAGAUUUAAUAAGCUUAGUUUUGUUUGAUCAUCAGGUUGUUCUGAUGGUCUUGUGAGGGAGCUGGCAGUUAACAGUCCUUUACAUAAUUCUGUUUUAAAGUACAGGAGUGUUUCUCUACUUAAGAUCUAAACUUCUUAUUUUUAAGGGCUAAUGUGGCUGCUUUAUUAUUAUGUGCACAUUUACACAUAGAAGGUGGUAUAGUAUGGUGAAAAGAUCCCUAGACUUUAGAGCAAGAAGAUACAGGUUCUACUCCUGACUGAGAAUCUCCCUGAUCUUUGGUAAAUCUCUUAGCCAUUCUCAGCCUAUUGUCUUAACCAUAAACUGAC